UACGGAGGGUGCAAGCGUUAUCCGGAUUUACUGGGUUUAAAGGGUGCGUAGGUGGAUUUGUAAGUCAGUGGUGAAAUCUCCGAGCUUAACUCGGAAACUGCCAUUGAUACUAUAAGUCUUGAAUUAUCUGGAGGUGAGCGGAAUAUGUCAUGUAGCGGUGAAAAGCUUAGAUAUGACAUAGAACACCAGUUGCGAAGGCAGCUCACUGCGAAUAUAUUGACGCUGAGGCACGAAAGCGUGGGGAUCAAACAGG
This 253-nucleotide ribosomal RNA is filed under the name uncultured bacterium. RNAcentral's name for it is "partial 16S ribosomal RNA". It matches the Rfam family "Bacterial small subunit ribosomal RNA", at positions 524 to 776 of the family's 1533-position model. The record is from RNAcentral.